AGUGAACGCUGGCGGUAGGCCUAACACAUGCAAGUCGAACGGCAGCACAGUAAGAGCUUGCUCUUACGGGUGGCGAGUGGCGGACGGGUGAGGAAUACAUCGGAAUCUACUUUUUCGUGGGUGAUAACGUAGGGAAACUUACGCUAAUACCGCAUACGACCUACGGGUGAAAGCAGGGGAUCUUCGGACCUUGCGCGAUUGAAUGAGCCGAUGUCGGAUUAGCUAGUUGGCGAGGUAAAGGCCCACCAAGGCGACGAUCCGUAGCUGGUCUGAGAGGAUGAUCAGCCACACUGGAACUGAGACACGGUCCAGACUCCUACGGGAGGCAGCAGUGGGGAAUAUUGGACAAUGGGCGCAAGCCUGAUCCAGCCAUACCGCGUGGGUGAAGAAGGCCUUCGGGUUGUAAAGCCCUUUUGUUGGGAAAGAAAAGCAGCAGGUUAAUACCCCGCUGUUCUGACGGUACCCAAAGAAUAAGCACCGGCUAACUUCGUG
This 492-nucleotide ribosomal RNA is filed under the name uncultured bacterium. Its description in RNAcentral is "partial 16S ribosomal RNA". It matches the Rfam family "Bacterial small subunit ribosomal RNA", at positions 29 to 507 of the family's 1533-position model. The record is from RNAcentral.